Molecule: ribosomal RNA, 423 nt
Filed under: uncultured bacterium
Lineage: Bacteria
Description: bacterial SSU rRNA
Rfam family: Bacterial small subunit ribosomal RNA
Source: RNAcentral
AAGACCUUGCGCUUUUGGAGCGGCCGAUGUCUGAUUAGCUAGUUGGUGGGGUAAUGGCCUACCAAAGCUUCGAUCAGUAGCUGGUCUGAGAGGACGACCAGCCACACUGGGACUGAGACACGGCCCAGACUCCUACGGGAGGCAGCAGUGGGGAAUUUUGGACAAUGGGCGCAAGCCUGAUCCAGCCAUGCCGCGUGAGUGAAGAAGGCCUUCGGGUUGUAAAGCUCUUUCAGCCGGGACGAAACGGUUACGGUUAAUACCCGUGACUACUGACGGUACCGGAAGAAGAAGCACCGGCUAACUACGUGCCAGCAGCCGCGGUAAUACGUAGGGUGCGAGCGUUAAUCGGAAUUACUGGGCGUAAAGCGUGCGCAGGUGGUUUUGUAAGUCAGAUGUGAAAGCCCCGGGCUCAACCUGGGAACU